Molecule: long non-coding RNA, 891 nt
Organism: Sitophilus oryzae (rice weevil)
Lineage: Eukaryota; Metazoa; Arthropoda; Insecta; Coleoptera; Curculionidae
Exons: 2
Source: RefSeq, a predicted model, not a curated record
GAGAUAAAUUUUGCUUUCCAUCGUGUUAUCUUAAUAAACUUCAGUGAAAAUGAACUUGUGCAGCUUUUAGAUAACACGCUGUCAAUCAGAUAUCGAUAUUUUGAUGCACUUGUAACCUAACCCACCAUGCUAACCCAUUUAAAAUUUUUCAAAAAAUUAGUAAAAAUCUCUUUAAAGCAUCUGGUGAUUAUUGGACCUUAAGAACCAAACGUUUAAUUUGUUUAGCAAAUUCUAAUGGUUUUGACAUCAGGAUUGCCUGGAUUCCAGGUCAUUCCAAUAUCUUGUGAAAUACAGAGGCAGAUUUGUUGGCUAAUAUUGGAAAAGAUUUAAAUAUUCCGAAAUCUAUGGAGAUGGAUUCAAUAGAUAUUUUUAAUUCAAUUAAAACUGAUAUUUUGUGUAAUUAUAAGGAAAAUUGGAAAUCUCGUAUGAAAGGAAAAAAGCAUGUGUAUUUUAAUAUACAAACAAUCUUCCCAGAUAAACAAUGGUUUAAAAAUUUCCAGUAUAUAGAUAGAAGACAUAUUACAACGUUAAUUAGAAUGCGUACAGGCCAUUGCUUAACAAAAAACCAUUUAUAUAAAAUUAAAGUGAAGGAAGAUCCAUUCUUUUCCGAAUGCAGUCUGUUUGUGUGACCUCUAUCCUAUGUGCCUUUGUGUGUGAUAUAAUCUUCCUUUCAGCACGUCAUUUAUAUAUUUAAUAAAUAAUAAUAAUAACAUUUUACAGUCACAGGUCACAGGUUACCUUCAUAGAAGUUAGUUAUAUUAAAAUUUACCCAUUAUACAUUUUACUCAGAUAAGAAUCAGUGGCCUUGAUAUGGUUUAGAGCCAGUCAACAUCUUGGUCACUCCCAAAUUGAGCUGGCGGUUGCCUUGUAGCAGAGCCAUCAUAAAAAAAA